UAAGGCUGAGACACGACGUCGAGCACCUACGGGUGUGAAGUCAUUGAUGCCAUGCUUCCAGGAAAAGCCUCUAAGCUUCAGAUUGUAAGGAAUCGUACCCCAAACCGACACAGGUGGUCGGGUAGAGAAUACCAAGGCGCUUGAGAGAACUCGGGUGAAGGAACUAGGCAAAAUGGUACCGUAACUUCGGGAGAAGGUACGCUCUUGAUGGUGAAGUCCCUCGCGGAUGGAGCUGACGAGAGUCGCAGAUACCAGGUGGCUGCAACUGUUUAUUAAAAACACAGCACUGUGCAAAAUCGUAAGAUGACGUAUACGGUGUGACGCCUGCCCGGUGCCGGAAGGUUAAUUGAUGGGGUUAGACUUCGGUCGAAGCUCUUGAUCGAAGCCCCGGUAAACGGCGGCCGUAACUAUAACGGUCCUAAGGUAGCGAAAUUCCUUGUCGGGUAAGUUCCGACCUGCACGAAUGGCGUAAUGAUGGCCACGCUGUCUCCACCCGAGACUCAGUGAAAUUGAAAUCGCUGUGAAGAUGCAGUGUACCCGCGGCUAGACGGAAAGACCCCGUGAACCUUUACUACAGCUUGGCACUGAACAUUGACCCUACAUGUGUAGGAUAGGUGGGAGGCUUUGAAGCACGUACGCCAGUAUGUGUGGAGCCGUCCUUGAAAUACCACCCUUGUAGUGUUGAUGUUCUAACGUCGACCCCUUAUCGGGGUUGCGGACAGUGCCUGGUGGGUAGUUUGACUGGGGCGGUCUCCUCCCAAAGAGUAACGGAGGAGCACGAAGGUGGGCUAAUCACGGUUGGACAUCGUGAGGUUAGUGCAAUGGCAUAAGCCCGCUUGACUGCGAGAAUGACAAUUCGAGCAGGUGCGAAAGCAGGUCAUAGUGAUCCGGUGGUUCUGAAUGGAAGGGCCAUCGCUCAACGGAUAAAAGGUACUCCGGGGAUAACAGGCUGAUACCGCCCAAGAGUUCAUAUCGACGGCGGUGUUUGGCACCUCGAUGUCGGCUCAUCACAUCCUGGGGCUGAAGUCGGUCCCAAGGGUAUGGCUGUUCGCCAUUUAAAGUGGUACGCGAGCUGGGUUUAGAACGUCGUGAGACAGUUCGGUCCCUAUCUGCCGUGGGCGUUGGAAGAUUGAAGGGGGCUGCUCCUAGUACGAGAGGACCGGAGUGGACGAACCUCUGGUGUUCGGGUUGUGUCGCCAGACGCAUUGCCCGGUAGCUAAGUUCGGAAUCGAUAACCGCUGAAAGCAUCUAAGCGGGAAGCGAGCCCUGAGAUGAGUCUUCCCUGAUACUUUAAGUAUCCUAAAGGGUUGUCGGAGACUACGACGUUGAUAGGUCAGGUGUGUAAGUGCUGUGAGGCAUUGAGCUAACUGAUACUAAUUGCCCGUGAGGCUUAACCAUACAACACCCAAGGGGUUU
RNAcentral lists this ribosomal RNA (1416 nucleotides) under Vibrio parahaemolyticus. RNAcentral's name for it is "partial 23S ribosomal RNA". It matches the Rfam family "Bacterial large subunit ribosomal RNA", at positions 1551 to 2925 of the family's 2925-position model. Lineage: Bacteria; Pseudomonadati; Pseudomonadota; Gammaproteobacteria; Vibrionales; Vibrionaceae. The record is from RNAcentral.